Dermacentor andersoni is the source of this 1755-nucleotide non-coding RNA. The record is from RefSeq and is a predicted model, not a curated record. NCBI's taxonomy places the organism in Eukaryota, Metazoa, Arthropoda, Arachnida, Ixodida, Ixodidae.
GAAAUACGACGUAUCGUGUGACUCGUAGAGUCGAUUAUCCGGGUGUGGGUGUAAGAGCCUACAACGAGGACGGCAAGCGUGAUGAAGAUAUAUCCCAACUAUAUUAUGUACUCUUUGCAACGACGGACUGCUUUAUUAUGAGUACGCUGUUGAAAAAAACACGUCCUUUGAGUUCGACUGACGUAGCAAACGGUAUCCUUCGGAAGCCCCCAGAUGAUUCAAGGUGCCUUCUCUGGGUUAAAGAGGGCAGCGAGCCUUCUGAAGAUGACUGCGAAAGGCAGUACAUUUCAUUAUGUGUUAAUGUGGGAAGAAAUAUCUAUCACUAUAAUAAAACAGAAUGCGAUAUUCUAAAGAAAGUAGAGGCCAAGUAAAUAUUUGUGCAAGCCACCAUGAAAAUUAUUUUUCAACCGCGCAAAGGACAGGGACGAGACGAGUGCACAUACACAUCGCUGAACUUUAACUCAUUUUCUCAGGCGUUUUCCACAGCUUAAAUAACUGGGAACCAAUCUCAAAUGAAAAUACGCCAAAACACACAAAUUCUUGGGAAUGACCGUACCUGAGCCAGUGCUAGGUGGCACAUGAACAGCUGUGCACGUGUUUCCAAUUUAUCUUCAUGAAAAUGCCGUUGUUUUUUCACAGAGGUGUUGAGGUGGCGCUUAGGCAUUUGUCUUUGAAUUUGUGGAUGUAAUGGGCUUCAGUAAUCUCUCUAGUUAUUUUUAUGGGAUCAUCUGGCAAAACGCUGCACUGACUGAAAGUGGGAUAACAAGGUGCUUUCUUAUUCUUUUUUUUUUCUUCCGCGCAGUCUCUGCAUUGAAUUCCGAGAUGGCCGGAAGCGGGGUUGCUCUUGUUGUUAACUUUCCGUAGCCGGUCGUUAAGGCAUCGACCAAUUUGCCCCAUGUAGUGCUUGCAACAAGAUAGUGGAAACCUGUACGCAACAUUGCUGUUACACGGUACAAAACGUUUUUGUUGCUUCUUGGCACAGCCCUCCUUCCUUGCGUUGCUGUGGUUUACAAUGUGACAGAGUUUUGAGAGAUUAUCGGGUGUGGAAUAAACAACUUGCACAUUGGCACGAGAACCCUCCAUUUUUAGGUUAUGUGAAAUGCUGCGCAAGUAAGCGAUAACCGCAGCCUUUCCUUUUUCUUCUUCCGACUUCGCUGCGGCCUGAAUUUAUGAUGUCUCUUAACAGGUUCUAUGCUACAACAAUGCGAAGAUCGGUUGGGUAGCCUCCUACAUGGAGGCGCACCACCUAAUUUUGAUAACUGUCUUGCAUCAAAUGAUGGCACGAUUUUACUAGGGCUUUUUCAAAACAUAACUUUGCAAUGCCACGUAUCAGAAGCUUGGAAUGUGCAGAAGCGAAAGGCGGAAGGGGUUUCUGGCAUCUUGGCUCGUAUCGCCAUCACACAUGGCUAUCGCUGAAGCACAUGGAAAGGUAUAAAAAACGUAAAUUUGCUUCAGAAGCUAUUUCAUGCGUCAAGACAAGGGCCUCAAGACAGGCGUAAGAAAGUGAUAAAACUUUUAAAACCGAGGCCACAGCGUCCUUAACAGCACAUGUCAUAAAAACUAAAGAAACAAUCAUCAACAUAAGGACUAGAAAUUGCCUCAAUAAAACCCGUUUCAAGUUCAGCGUUGUGUAUGUGCACUCGCCCCGUGCCUGUCCUUUGCGCAGUUGCAAAAGGAUGUCACACCAACUUGCCCAAGCUUCAGCAGUGUCUGCACUAUGUAAAGUGAACAAAUGUCUCAUUUCCUGAAUAAACA